RNAcentral lists this ribosomal RNA (322 nucleotides) under Sandonidae sp. RNAcentral describes it as "SSU rRNA". It matches the Rfam family "Eukaryotic small subunit ribosomal RNA", at positions 634 to 955 of the family's 1831-position model. The record is from RNAcentral. Lineage: Eukaryota; Cercozoa; Glissomonadida; Sandonidae.
GAUUUCUGGCUUGAAACAUUUGGCCGGCCACGGUUUCGUGUGUUAGUGCUUUGUGUUCUGGCCAUCCUUCCAAUCGCUAUACACCUUUCUUCAUUGAUUGGUGUGUGGUAUUGGAUCUUUUACUUUGAAAAAAUUAGAGUGUUUCAAGCAGGCUUUAUGCCAUGAAUACAUUAGCAUGGAAUAAUAAUUUAGGACUUUGGUCUUAUUUUAUUGGUUUCUAGGACUAGAGUAAUGAUUGAUAGGGACAGUUGGGGGUGCUAGUAUUCAGCGGCCAGAGGUGAAAUUCUUGGAUUCGCUGAAGACUAACCUAUGCGAAAGCAUU